This is a long non-coding RNA of Nerophis ophidion (straightnose pipefish), 1459 nucleotides long. RefSeq lists it as uncharacterized. The record is from RefSeq and is a predicted model, not a curated record. Lineage: Eukaryota; Metazoa; Chordata; Actinopteri; Syngnathiformes; Syngnathidae. The transcript has 3 exons.
UUUUAGCUUGUUGCCCCUGACAACCAAAGUGCCCAAUCAAACGGCACGGAAAUUGGACGCACCUGUGGAGCAUUAAGACUGCCCAUUUAAAAGGAGCGACAGGAGGAGGAAGAAAAAGGCAGGGUCGACGGAAGGAUUCGUCAGGUUUUGCCCGGAACGGGGAAGAAUCGACAGGCUUUGCCAAGAGCGACCGGGUGAACGCACGCAGGCUGGGAAGGAACCCCCCGGAUGACACAGCAGACCCCGCAGGCUACCGGAGCCAACCCCAAAAAACACACAACACGCAGGGGCAGAGGACAAUCUGCCUCCCAAGGGGGCGAUUUGGACCCAGGGACCUACGGCGACCCCCAGAAGCGACCAGGAGGCGGAGCGGGACGGGUACGGCCAUGUAGGUCCCGCGAGUUACCAGAGACUGGCACGGAACUACAGCAAAGGCAGGAAAAACCCUGCCUUGUGUGAAGACUCCGUGGAAGUGGGCGGAGCCAAGAUACGGACCCCCACGACUGUUGUGACUGUACCCUUGCCCAAAUCAUUUGUUAUCAUUUGGUAUUUUAGUGUCGACAACGUGACUGGUUUUUAAUUGUAUUUUAAUAAUUUGUGAACCAGUAUAAUCAUCUUUCCUUAUUUUGGGACAGCUGCUCUCACUACAUUGGGUUCUUAAUAUUUAUAUUGGUUUUAAGCAACACUUUUAUUAGAUUCUUAAUAUUUUACCACUCUGGUCCAUAACAAGUCCUCAGGUAAAAAAUGCUUGGAGCAAACAAACAUAGGUUUUCUGAGCCAUGUCUUUGAGUCUAAGUUGAAUUUCAUAGUCCUUUUUGGCUUUUAUUAUCAAGUCCGAGGCGUGAUUUAUAAUCUAGCAACUAGCAUUAAUUUUUUCAAGGUGAUUUAGGAGCAAAAGCUUCAGUAGCUAGCUUACAUCUCACCGGAAAAGCAGUGCGUGUCUCUGAAAGAAAGGUGUUGUGUUACUAAAACUUGUUCUUAGGUGUUAACUCUAGCUCCUACCGGUCAGACGUGCCCGAAACACCUCCCAAGGGAGGCGUUGGGGUGGCAUCCUGACCUGAUGCCCGAACCACCUCAUCUGGCUCCUCUCAAUGUGGAGGAGCAGCAGCUUUAAUGUGGGCUCCUCCCGGAUGACAGAGCUUCUCACCCUAUCUCUAAAGGAGAGCCCCGCCACCUGGGGGAAGAAACUCAUUUCGGCCGCUUGUACCCGUGAUCUUGUCCUUUUGGUCAUUACCCAAAGCUCAUGACCAUAGGUGAGGAUGGGAACGUAGAUCGACCGGUAAAUGGAGAGCUUUGCCUUCCGGCUCAGCUCUUUCUUCACCACAACUGAUUGAUACAGCGUCCCCAUUACUGAAGACGCCGUACCGAUCCGCCAGUCGAUCUCACGAUCCGCUCUUACCCCACUCGUGAACAAGACUCCGAGGUGCUUGAACUCCUCCACUUGGGGCAAGAUCUCCUC